This 1884-nucleotide long non-coding RNA is filed under the name Nicotiana tabacum (common tobacco). RNAcentral describes it as "long non-coding RNA (NTAB_LNC016402)". The record is from RNAcentral. Lineage: Eukaryota; Viridiplantae; Streptophyta; Magnoliopsida; Solanales; Solanaceae.
GGUGUAAGAGUUGAUGCUAAAGUUUUAUAGUUGAUGAUGCAGUAAUAAACUUGCACAAGUAAGUAUUAGGUUUUCAGGUAGUAAAAUUAUUGUCUGUGACAUCCAUUCAACAUUUUUAUGUGAAGGUAAUGUUCUUAAUCAAUUGGAGAUUUGAUUUGUUAAGAAUUAGAAGAAGUUUCAAUGUUGAUAUACUAGGGUCAUGACGCAUGAGUAUCACUGCCUAUUGCUAAAUCUAUGGCAAUGAUAGAGAACGAUUGCAUAAAUAGCAAAGACAGAUUAGUGGGAUCCUCUAUUGAGAGAGCAAUUGUGCAUAACCACAAUGCACGUUCAAUAGGUAUAACUUCGAAUAAGCAAUUUUAGCAAUCACUUGCCAAUAAGUCAUGACUAAAAUGUCCCUAUUGAGUUUUCUUCAAAAACUAUUAAUGGAACAAUUCCCUGAUUAAUUUAUUGUGAAAUAGUUUGUUUGGCUAUAUGUUUUAUAAUGUCACGGAGAUCGAGAAUCAGAUUUAGAUCAAUUAUGAAUCUAUAUAUAUAUAUAUAAGUAGGCAAUAGAAAAGUGAGGCGGCACCUCUCUUUGGCCAAGAAACCUAUUUAUCUUUUUUCUCCAUUUUUUGGUUUUUCCCUUUAUUCUUUACAUUUAGUUUAUGUUAAAAAGCCUAAAAAUCUCUAUUAAACACUAAUUGUUACUUUCCACCUUCCCUAUAAUAAAUGUUGUUUAAUGUAUGUUUUACUAUAUCAAAUGUAGGAGAUCUCUGACCAUGUCCAAAGUAACGAAGUUGAGGUAGAGUAGUCCAAAAUUUCAGAUUGAUGGCUUGAUCUCCUCGGGAAACAAGAGUACAUAGAAGAUGGCUUAGAAGGCUAUGACACAGACCUUCUGGAAUGGAGGCAAUAAACGAUGAAGUGUGUAAUCAUCCUUCUGUUGAUGGUGGUAUGAUGUGGUUAUAACUUCAUUAUUAUCCUUACAUUUUCCUUCUCUUUCUUAAAUUGGAGUAGAAAACUUCAAUUUAUUUCCUGACAUUCCCCAAAUCCAUUUUGAUUUGGAAAAACUUCUGAUGAACUAAUAAUGCAUUAAUUAUUUUAACACUAGUGCAUAGAUAAGUUUGAACUUAUAUAUUGAAUACUUUCUCGAAGUUCUUGUAAUAAAUGCCAAAACGUGCAUGUACUUCUUCUGAUCUUUAAAACCAGAAUAACAAGAUUUUUAUUGAAAGAAUCCUCUGACGAACCACAUGGCUUCUUUUGAGCCACGUUUUAUCAAUUUGGUUUCACUCAGAAAGUGAAACUACGGUUCGUGGCUUCGUGCACCUUGACUGUAUCUUUUUUCUCCAUUUUUUGAUUUUUCCCUUUAUUCUUUACAUUUAGUUUAUGUUAAAAAGCCUAAAAAUCUCUAUUAAACACUAACUGUUACUUUCCACCUUCCCUAUAAUAAAUGUUGUUUAAUGUAUGUUUUACUAUAUCAAAUGUAGGAGAUCUCGGACCAUGUCCAAAGUAACGAAGUUGAGGUAGAGUAGUCCAAAAUUUCAGAUUGAUGGCUUGAUCUCCUCGGGAAACAAGAGUAGAUAGAAGAUGGCUUAGAAGGCUAUGACACAGACCUUCUGGAAUUGAGGCAAUAAACGAUGAAGUGUGUAAUCAUCCUUCUGUUGAUGGUGGUAUGAUGUGGUUAUAACUUCAUUAUUAUCCUUACAUUUUCCUUCUCUUUCUUAAAUUGGAGUAGAAAACUUCAAUUUAUUUCCUGACCUUCCCAAAAUCCAUUUUGAUUUGGAAAAACUUCUGAUGAACUAAUAAUGCAUUAAUUAUUUUAACACUAGUGCAUAGAUAAGUUUGAACUUAUAUAUUGAAUACUUUCUCGAAGUUCUUGUAAUAAAUGCCAAAACGUGCAUGUACUUC